RNAcentral lists this ribosomal RNA (392 nucleotides) under uncultured bacterium. Its description in RNAcentral is "partial 16S ribosomal RNA". It matches the Rfam family "Bacterial small subunit ribosomal RNA", at positions 523 to 918 of the family's 1533-position model. The record is from RNAcentral.
AUACGUAGGUGGCAAGCGUUAUCCGGAAUUAUUGGGCGUAAAGAGGGAGCAGGCGGCAGCAAGAGUCUGUGGUGAAAGCCUGAAGCUUAACUUCAGUAAGCCAUAGAAACCAGGCAGCUAGAGCGCGGGAGAGGAUCGUGGAAUUCCAUGUGUAGCGGUGAAAUGCGUGGAUAUAUGGAGGAACACCAGUGGCGAAGGCGUCGAUCUGACCUGCAACUGACGCUCAGUCCCGAAGGCGUGGGGAGCAAAUAGUAUUAGAUGCCCUAGUAGUCCACGCCGUAAACGAUGAGUACUAAGUGUUGGAUGUCAAAGUUCAGUGCUGCAGUUAACGCAAUAAGUACUCCGCCUGAGUAGUACGUUCGCAAGAAUGAAACUCAAAGGAAUUGACGGGG